AAGACUAUACUUUCAGGGAUCAUUUCUAUAAUUUGUUACUAGAGAAGUUUCUCUGAAUGUGUAGAGCACCGGAAAUCACGAGGAGGAGGUGCAGCAUUCUCUGCCGAGCGUGAAGCCACUUUUGGUUUUGCUUCGCUGCAGAUGCCAUUUGCCAUUGAUGAUCGUUCUCUCUCUUUUGGGGGGAGUAAGAGGGAGAAGAUGCAGUGAGUGGU
RNAcentral lists this small nucleolar RNA (212 nucleotides) under Prolemur simus (greater bamboo lemur). RNAcentral's name for it is "Small nucleolar RNA U3 (ENSPSMG00000020150.1)". It matches the Rfam family "Small nucleolar RNA U3". Rfam says of the family: Small nucleolar RNAs (snoRNAs) are involved in the processing and modification of rRNA in the nucleolus. There are two main classes of snoRNAs: the box C/D class, and the box H/ACA class. The record is from Rfam by way of RNAcentral. Lineage: Eukaryota; Metazoa; Chordata; Mammalia; Primates; Lemuridae.